ACGUACACUCCUGCGGGAGGCAGCAGUGGGGAAUAUUGGACAAUGGGCGCAAGCCUGAUCCAGCCAUGCCGCGUGAGUGAUGAAGGCCCUAGGGUUGUAAAGCUCUUUCACCGGUGAAGAUAAUGACGGUAACCGGAGAAGAAGCCCCGGCUAACUUCGUGCCAGCAGCCGCGGUAAUACGAAGGGGGCUAGCGUUGUUCGGAUUUACUGGGCGUAAAGCGCACGUAGGCGGACUAUUAAGUCAGGGGUGAAAUCCCGGGGCUCAACCCCGGAACUGCCUAUGAUACUGGUAGUCUUGAGUUCGAGAGAGGUGAGUGGAAUUCCGAGUGUAGAGGUGAAAUUCGUAGAUAUUCGGAGGAACACCAGUGGCGAAGGCGGCUCACUGGCUCGAUACUGACGCUGAGGUGCGAAAGCGUGGGGAGCAAACAGGAUUAGAUACCCCGGUAGUCCCA
RNAcentral lists this ribosomal RNA (452 nucleotides) under uncultured organism. RNAcentral describes it as "partial 16S ribosomal RNA". It matches the Rfam family "Bacterial small subunit ribosomal RNA", at positions 329 to 797 of the family's 1533-position model. The record is from RNAcentral.